Gopherus flavomarginatus (Mexican gopher tortoise) is the source of this 284-nucleotide long non-coding RNA. RefSeq lists it as uncharacterized. NCBI's taxonomy places the organism in Eukaryota, Metazoa, Chordata, Testudines, Testudinidae. The record is from RefSeq and is a predicted model, not a curated record. The transcript is spliced from 4 exons.
UUUUUUUAAAAACAGGUUUAAACCUAUAAAUAGAGGAACAAAAAACUGAACAAGCCUGUUAAUGAAACAUUGCUAAUACAAGACUUUUACCGUUACGGGGAGCAACAACAUGGACGAGGCCUUUUUUCUUGACAUUCCAGAUGCCGCGCUACAAGCUUUAAACUUUGAACAAGAUGGAAGUCAAAACCACCCAAUAGUUUUCCUGAAAUUACAGAAGAAGGUGUGAACUGUUUUUUAAAUAUGUGUUUUUUAAAAUAAAAAAAUCUGAUGUUGCAAAUAGUGUG